Molecule: ribosomal RNA, 433 nt
Filed under: Tonicella marmorea
Lineage: Eukaryota; Metazoa; Mollusca; Polyplacophora; Chitonida; Mopaliidae
Description: SSU rRNA
Rfam family: Eukaryotic small subunit ribosomal RNA
Source: RNAcentral
UGGUGCCAGCAGCCGCGGUAAUUCCAGCUCCAAUAGCGUAUACUAAAGUUGUUGCGAUUAAAAAGCUCGUAGUUGGAUCUCGGGUGCGGGCGCGCGGUCUAGCCAUCGGCUCAGCACUGCGUUGUUACACUUGUUGUAAGCCCGUCCUACGCUUCCCGGUCACGGACGGUGCCCUUGACUGUGGCGUCAUCCUAGCCGGAACGUUUACUUUGAAGAAAUUAGAGUGUUCAAAGCAGGCCAUGGCCCGCAUACAUUGCAUGGAAUAAUGGAAUAGGACCUCGGUUCUAUUUUGCUGGUUUUCGGAACACGAGGUAAUGAUUAAUAGGAACGGACGGGGGCAUCCGUACUGUGGUGUUAGAGGUGAAAUUCUUGGAUCAUUGCAAGACGAACGACUGCGAAAGCACUUGCCAAGCAUGUUUUCAUUAGUCAAGAA